RNAcentral lists this long non-coding RNA (377 nucleotides) under Ananas comosus (pineapple). Its description in RNAcentral is "long non-coding RNA (ACOM_LNC007075)". Lineage: Eukaryota; Viridiplantae; Streptophyta; Magnoliopsida; Poales; Bromeliaceae. The record is from RNAcentral.
UGGGCAUGGAUGAGGGUUUUAUACUUAUUUUGGGUAUAAAAAAAUAAGAUAUAAAUAGAACCCUAACAGAACACUGACGGCGGGAGCCGAAGUGAACAUUUUUUAUUUUUCAAGGGGCAAAGUAUAGGUUUUUGAAUGACAGGGGGAAAGUAAAAAAACGGAUAUUGACAGGAGGGUUUUCUGUAAUUUAGUCUUAAAAAAAACUUAGUUUCUAUAUUAUUUGAGUGUGGUGAGAGGAGGUGGGGUUAGAAGGAGUUAGAUAGUGCUUAAUUAGACAAAAUAUAUAUUUUUUAUAACAUUUUAAAUAGAACUAUAGAAAAUUAUUUGUUAUCAUGAAAUUACUUGUAUUUACAGAUAAUUUUGAUUAUUAAAGGUUA